RNAcentral lists this transfer RNA (74 nucleotides) under Podontia lutea. Its description in RNAcentral is "tRNA-Leu". Lineage: Eukaryota; Metazoa; Arthropoda; Insecta; Coleoptera; Chrysomelidae. The record is from RNAcentral.
AUUAUUUUGGCAGAUUAGUGCAAUUGAUUUAGAAUCUUUAUAUGUAAUUUAAAUUACAGAUAAUACUUGAUAUU